RNAcentral lists this ribosomal RNA (33 nucleotides) under Phytopythium sp. Its description in RNAcentral is "partial 28S ribosomal RNA". Lineage: Eukaryota; Oomycota; Peronosporomycetes; Pythiales; Pythiaceae. The record is from RNAcentral.
UUGGACCUGAUAUCAGACAAGAUUACCCGCUGA